Molecule: ribosomal RNA, 497 nt
Filed under: uncultured bacterium
Lineage: Bacteria
Description: partial 16S ribosomal RNA
Rfam family: Bacterial small subunit ribosomal RNA
Source: RNAcentral
GAUGAACGCUGGCGGCGUGCCUAAUACAUGCAAGUCGAGCGAACAGACGAGGAGCUUGCUCCUCUGACGUUAGCGGCGGACGGGUGAGUAACACGUGGAUAACCUACCUAUAAGACUGGGAUAACUUCGGGAAACCGGAGCUAAUACCGGAUCAUAUAUUGAACCGCAUGGUUCAAUAGUGAAUGACGGUUUUGCUGUCACUUAUAGAUGGAUCCGCGCCGCAUUAGCUAGUUGGUAAGGUAACGGCUUACCAAGGCGACGAUGCGUAGCCGACCUGAGAGGGUGAUCGGCCACACUGGAACUGAGACACGGUCCAGACUCCUACGGGAGGCAGCAGUAGGGAAUCUUCGGCAAUGGGCGAAAGCCUGACGGAGCAACGCCGCGUGAGUGAUGAAGGUCUUCGGGUCGUAAAGCUCUGUUAUUGGGGAAGAACAAAUGUGUAAGUAACUAUGCACGUCUUGACGGUACCUAAUCAGAAAGCCACGGCUAACUACGUG